AUCGCUUCUCGGCCUUUUGGCCAAGAUCAUGUGUAGUAUCUAUUCUCAUCAGUUUAAUAUCUGAUACGUCCUGUAUUGGAGAACAGUAUAUUAAAUGGAUUUUGGGAGCAGGGACAUGGAACGGGAGCUUGCUCCGUCCAGUCCACGCAUCGGCCUGGUAGCGCAGUGUCUCCAGGCACAGGUGCACCCCAU
Cynocephalus volans (Philippine flying lemur) is the source of this 192-nucleotide small nuclear RNA. RefSeq annotates it as U2 spliceosomal RNA. Lineage: Eukaryota; Metazoa; Chordata; Mammalia; Dermoptera; Cynocephalidae. The transcript has a single exon. The record is from RefSeq and is a predicted model, not a curated record.